GAUGAAGAACGCAGCGAAAUGCGAUAAGUAAUGUGAAUUGCAGAAUUCAGUGAAUCAUCGAAUCUUUGAACGCUCAUUGCGGCCGUCAGUAUUCUGGCGGGCAUGCCUGUUCGAGCGUCAUUACGCCCCUCAAGUCCCCUGUGGACUUGGUGUUGGGGAUCGGCGAGGCUGGUUUUCCAGCACAGCCGUCCCUUAAAUUAAUUGGCGGUCUCGCCGUGGCCCUCCUCUGCGCAGUAGUAAAACACUCGCAACCGGAGCCCGGCGCGGUCCACUGCCGUAAAACCCCCCAACUUUUUAUAGUUGACCUCGAAUCAGGUAGGACUACCCGCUGAACUUAAGCAUAUCAAUAAGCGGAGGA
This 358-nucleotide unclassified non-coding RNA is filed under the name soil metagenome. RNAcentral's name for it is "partial contains 5.8S ribosomal RNA, internal transcribed spacer 2, and large subunit ribosomal RNA". The stretch from base 1 to 120 matches the Rfam family "5.8S ribosomal RNA", at positions 35 to 154 of the family's 154-position model. The record is from RNAcentral.